UACAGGGGGGCGCGAGCGUUGCUCGGAAUCACUGGGCGUAAAGCGUACGCAGGCGGGUCGAUAAGUCCGUUGUGAAAUCCCAGGGCUCAACCCUGGAACUGCAGUGGAGACUGUCGAUCUUGAGUACGGGAGAGGAGAGCGGAAUUCCUGGUGUAGAGGUGAAAUUCGUAGAUAUCAGGAGGAACACCGGUGGCGAAAGCGGCUCUCUGGCCCGGUACUGACGCUGAGGUGCGAAAGCGUGGGGAGCAAACAGG
RNAcentral lists this ribosomal RNA (254 nucleotides) under uncultured bacterium. Its description in RNAcentral is "partial 16S ribosomal RNA". It matches the Rfam family "Bacterial small subunit ribosomal RNA", at positions 524 to 776 of the family's 1533-position model. The record is from RNAcentral.